AAAGGGAAGACCAUAAACGAGCAUGGGACAAAAGACAUUAUUGCCUCUAUUGUGGCAAAUCACAAUUAAAGAUAUUGAAGCAUUUGGAGAGAAAGCAUAUGGAGGUCAAAGAUGUGGCAUAUGCCUUCAGGUAACCAUUAAGUUCAAAAUGAAAGAAAGGUUCUUUUAGAACAGCUGUGCAAUAAAGAAGAUUUUAAACACAAUACCAAAGUUCUGGAAAAAGUCAGAGGACAAAUAGUGACAUGGAAGCAGCCAUCUGAUAAAGCUUCUGUUAAGGAUUACUUGCCUUGCCCAUAUUCUUUUGGAAUGUUCAGGAAAAAUGACCUGUGGAGACAUCAGUCCUCGUGCAAAUCUAAGAAGUCAUGUGUGCCCGAUGAAAAAAUAAAAACUAGAUAAGGGAGAGUACAAAGUCGUGCUGCUGCAUGCCUGCUUCCAAUAGUAGCUUCCUCAGAUGUCAGAGGAUCAACAUCAUGAGACAAGAUUAUGUGUCCUUUCACAUCAGGAGUGAUUCCUUGAUUUGGAAAUACAGCGAAUCACUUUUACAAAACAUGGUCAUGUGAAGUCCAAGCACCAGUACAUUGCACAAACAAUGAGGGAGCUUGGCUGAUUCAUGUUAGUAGCUAAAGAUAUGGACAAGAUUGUCAAUUAUCUUGAAGAUUAAAAUUUCAGCUUGUUGUCAAUGUUGCCAAGUGUCUUACACAGUUUAGUCCAGGCAAAAAUGAAUAUGGAAAACCUUCAACAGCAGUCAAAAUUGGAUUCUGUCUUAACGGGGCUGUGGAAGUUCUGAUUGGACAGACUCUUAUAAAUGAUGUGGCAGAGAAGAAAGCAAAAAAGCUCUGAACUUCUGGAGAAAAACUGGAACAACAGUGUUUCUAUCACCACUCACCAAAUCAUACAGGAAAAAAGCUGGAACAAAGAUGACAUUCCCCUCACCAAAAGUGUGACUGCUCUGAGAGACCAUCUCAGGAAGGUAGAAGAUGAAGCAAGAAGGGAACUGAUGCAACAGAUGAGUUUAGGUGCAUACAAGACAAUAAACGAGACUGUUCUGGCACAGGGCAUUAUCUUCAACAAGCGGCGUGAAGGGGAAGCAUCACGCUUGACUCUUGAGACCUACAGGAAAGCAAGCACAAGUGACAUUAAUGAGGACGUUUAUGAAACCUUGUCACCAUUAGAAAAGGAGCUAAGCAAGCUAUUAACCUGCAUAGAAAUCAGGGGGGAAACGAGGAAAGAAGGUUCCAGUUUUCUUGACUGAGAGAAUGAAGGAGUCAAUUGAUUUGUUGGUUCAAAGAAGAGAAGAAACUGAUUUACCUGCUGAUAAUAUCUCUCUUUGCAAGACCUGGUGUGAUGACGAACAUACGUGGAUGUGACCGUCUGAGAAAAUAUGCAGAAGAAAGCAAAGCAGAAAACGCUGAUCUCCUAAGGUCAACUAAAUGAAGAAAACAGGUUUUCACACUCUGCCAACUCUUGGACCUUAGUGAACAAGACCUGGAGCAAGUUGCAAGGUUUAUGGGGCACGACAUCAGUUCACUGUGACUUUUACAGACAGACCGACAAAACCUUUCAAAUCGCCAAGAUAAGUAAGCUUCUGUUUGCAAUGGAGCGAGGCACGGAGACCUUAAGGGGGAAGAACCUCAGCACUCUUGAUCCUUCUGUCUGUGAUGGAUGUUCUGAGCUCUUCAACCACAAAAAAAGACUAAAAAGGCAAGACUUACUUUACUCUUCACAUUAUUUUUAACGUAUGAGUGGCGUGGCAUAAAACGUGAGUGUGCGAGGCUUCUGGUGUCAUUCACUUCCAGCUGUUUUAGUUUCACAAAAACAGACCUUUAUGCUGCUUGAUAUUGCAAACUGGUGUUUACCAUCAUAGUAUUUAAUGUAUUAUUCUAAAUCAUAAACACUGGUUUAUAGUGCGAAUAGUUUUACCAUUUACUACAAUUUAUUAUUAUUCUAGCCUAGUUUUUUACCUAUAGUGGCUAAUGAUUUGGAAAUCUCACACAUUCAGAAAAUAGCUUACUUCCACGUUGCAUUAUAUCUAUAGAAAGGUCCUUUCUUUGGAAAGUAUACAGCGGUAUAAUUCAUUAACUAACAGUUAGUAAUGCUCGUCUGUUCCAGAUCACUGCCCAGGAGCAAGCCUGGUUAAGAGGUCCACACCGAAAAAAAAAGAGGAAAACAGACCAGGAGUGGGAACGCUCCAUAAGGACACUGCCAAGGUGAAUGUGAGGAGACCAUGGAGUGAAGCGGGGAGGAGUGCAGUACACAAACACUCGGGGAAGUACAUGGCAAUUCAAGUUUUAAUAUUUACUGAUAUUGUUUAAUAUAUUUAGAGGUGUACACACACACACACACACACACACACACACACACACCUCUUUUUAGUUGUAACUGAGCAUUUAUUUUCAUCAAUUUGACCUAUUAAUCUGACAUUAUUAACAAUCUAUUAUUUUCCUGGUCUAUAAGAUAAGAGCUGACAAGCACCUAAAACAAUUCUUUGAAGCCGAAGGUGUCUCGGUUCUCAAACUAAAAUAAAUGUAGAACUGGUCACUGAAAGUGGCAUCUUUUGCAGCUUUGUUAGAAGUUGCUGGACAAUGGUGUAUAUUGCUAUAUUGAUCUUCUAAUUAGAUCAAUAAUUGCACAGAACACUACAUGUACUUCAAUACAGUAGUCUGAUGGUCAUAAAUGUUUAGGUAAUCUGUUUAUGAAGCUCAAACUGUAACUUGCAUUAUUUGUCCACACUAAAAUAAAAAGAUAGCAAAGAAUAAAUGCAAGCAAAAAAUAAUAUUAAAAAAAAAAAAAAAAAGGUAGUUAAAAUAAUCCAGUGAGAA
This is a long non-coding RNA of Ictalurus punctatus (channel catfish), 2819 nucleotides long. RefSeq lists it as uncharacterized. Lineage: Eukaryota; Metazoa; Chordata; Actinopteri; Siluriformes; Ictaluridae. The record is from RefSeq and is a predicted model, not a curated record. The transcript has 3 exons.